ACGGUGAGUAACACGUAUCCAACCUGCCGUCUACUCUUGGCCAGCCUUCUGAAGGAAGAUUAAUCCAGGAUGGCAUCAUGAGUUCACAUGUCCGCAUGAUUAAAGGUAUUUUCCGGUAGACGAUGGGGAUGCGUUCCAUUAGAUAGUAGGCGGGGUAACGGCCCACCUAGUCAACGAUGGAUAGGGGUUCUGAGAGGAAGGUCCCCCACAUUGGAACUGAGACACGGUCCAA
RNAcentral lists this ribosomal RNA (232 nucleotides) under uncultured bacterium. Its description in RNAcentral is "partial 16S ribosomal RNA". It matches the Rfam family "Bacterial small subunit ribosomal RNA", at positions 105 to 334 of the family's 1533-position model. The record is from RNAcentral.